Molecule: ribosomal RNA, 468 nt
Filed under: uncultured bacterium
Lineage: Bacteria
Description: partial 16S ribosomal RNA
Rfam family: Bacterial small subunit ribosomal RNA
Source: RNAcentral
GACGAACGCUGGCGGCGUGCCUAACACAUGCAAGUCGAACGAAAAGGCCCUGCUUUUGUGGGGUGCUCGAUUGGCGAACGGGUGAGUAACACGUGUGUAACCUGCCCUUGACUUUGUGAUAACUUCAGGGAACUGCGGCUAAUACCGCAUAGGAUCUCUUGCUGCAUGGUGGUCGUUGGAAAGUUUCGGCGGUUGGGGAUGGUCUCGCGGCUUAUCAGCUUGUUUGGGUGGUAGUGGCUUACCAAGGCUUUGACGGGUAGCCGGCAUGGGAGGGUGACCGGCCACCUUAGGACUGAGAUAGGGACCAGAAUCGAACGGGAGGCAACAGUGGGGAAUAUUGCAGAAUGGGGGGGAGCGUGUUGCAGAAGCGCCGCGUGCGGGAUACCGGCCUUCGGGUUGUGAACAGCUUUCGCCUGUGACGAAGAGUGAGUGACGGUAAUGGGUCAAGAAGCACCGGCUAACUACGUG